RNAcentral lists this long non-coding RNA (290 nucleotides) under Homo sapiens (human). RNAcentral's name for it is "non-protein coding lnc-RPS13-3:1". The record is from RNAcentral. Lineage: Eukaryota; Metazoa; Chordata; Mammalia; Primates; Hominidae.
CUGUCCUGAACCCCUGGUAAUAGAAUUGUUUACCUUUGUACCAAGAAGGUUGGGAAAGCACCAAAAUCUGCAUGUGGUGUGUACCCAGGUAGACUUUGAGGGGUUCGUGCUGUGAGACCUAAAGCCCUUAUGAGAUUGUCCAAAACAAAAAACAUGUCAGCAGGGCCUAUGGUGAUUCCAUGUGUGCUAAAUGUGUUAGUGACAGGAUCAAGCAUGCUUUCCUUAUCAAGGAGCAGAAAAUCAUUGUGAAAGUGUUGAAAGCACAAGCAGGGAGUCAGAAAGCUAAAUAA